UAGGGAAGUCUUCCACAAUGGACGCAAGUCUGAUGGAGCAGCGCCGCGUGAGUGAAGAAGGUCUUCGGAUCGUAAAACUCUGUUGUUAGAGAAGAACACGAGUGAGAGUAACUGUUCAUUCGAUGACGGUAUCUAACCAGCAAGUCACGGCUAACUACGUGCCAG
RNAcentral lists this ribosomal RNA (165 nucleotides) under uncultured bacterium. Its description in RNAcentral is "partial 16S rRNA". It matches the Rfam family "Bacterial small subunit ribosomal RNA", at positions 355 to 511 of the family's 1533-position model. The record is from RNAcentral.